RNAcentral lists this non-coding RNA (93 nucleotides) under bovine gut metagenome. RNAcentral's name for it is "TPP riboswitch (THI element)". It matches the Rfam family "TPP riboswitch aptamer (THI element)", at positions 8 to 91 of the family's 105-position model. From Rfam's summary of the family: Vitamin B(1) in its active form thiamin pyrophosphate (TPP) is an essential coenzyme that is synthesised by coupling of pyrimidine and thiazole moieties in bacteria. The previously detected thiamin-regulatory element, thi box was extended, resulting in a new, highly conserved RNA secondary structure, the THI element, which is widely distributed in eubacteria and also occurs in some archaea. The record is from RNAcentral.
AACAGGGGAGCCUGUACUGACAGGCUGAGAGGAAAUUAUGAAUUUCGACCCUUUGACCUGAUACGGAUAAUGCCGUCGUAGGAAAUUAUACUU